Molecule: ribosomal RNA, 469 nt
Filed under: uncultured bacterium
Lineage: Bacteria
Description: bacterial SSU rRNA
Rfam family: Bacterial small subunit ribosomal RNA
Source: RNAcentral
AUCCAGACUCCUACGGGAGGCAGCAGUGAGGAAUAUUGGUCAAUGGGCGAGAGCCUGAACCAGCCAAGUCGCGUGAGGGAAGACUGCCCUAUGGGUUGUAAACCUCUUUUGUCAGGGAGCAACGCCGGCUACGUGUAGCCGGACUGAGAGUACCUGAAGAAAAAGCAUCGGCUAACUACGUGCCAGCAGCCGCGGUAAUACGUAGGGGGCGAGCGUUGUCCGGAAUCACUGGGCGUAAAGGGCGCGUAGGCGGUAAUAUAAGUCAGAUGUGAAAGGUGGGGGCUCAACCCCUAGAGUGCAACUGAUACUGUAUAACUUGAGUGUGAGAGAGGGAAGCGGAAUUCCUAGUGUAGCGGUGAAAUGCGUAGAUAUUAGGAGGAACACCAGUGGCGAAGGCGGCUUUCUGGCUCAUAACUGACGCUGAGGCGCGAAAGCGUGGGGAGCAAACAGGAUUAGAUACCCGAGUAAC